GAUGAACGCUGGCGGCGUGCCUAAUACAUGCAAGUCGAGCGAACAGACGAGGAGCUUGCUCCUCUGACGUUAGCGGCGGACGGGUGAGUAACACGUGGAUAACCUACCUAUAAGACUGGGAUAACUUCGGGAAACCGGAGCUAAUACCGGAUAAUAUAUUGAACCGCAUGGUUCAAUAGUGAAAGACGGUUUUGCUGUCACUUAUAGAUGGAUCCGCGCCGCAUUAUCUAGUUGGUAAGGUAACGGCUUACCAAGGCAACGAUGCGUAGCCGACCUGAGAGGGUGAUCGGCCACACUGGAACUGAGACACGGUCCAGACUCCUACGGGAGGCAGCAGUAGGGAAUCUUCCGCAAAGGGCGAAAGCCUGACGGAGCAACGCCGCGUGAGUGAUGAAGGUCUUCGGAUCGUAAAACUCUGUUAUUAGGGAAGAACAAAUGUGUAAGUAACUAUGCACGUCUUGACGGUACCUAAUCAGAAAGCCACGGCUAACUACGUG
This 497-nucleotide ribosomal RNA is filed under the name uncultured bacterium. RNAcentral describes it as "partial 16S ribosomal RNA". It matches the Rfam family "Bacterial small subunit ribosomal RNA", at positions 28 to 507 of the family's 1533-position model. The record is from RNAcentral.